This 301-nucleotide ribosomal RNA is filed under the name uncultured bacterium. RNAcentral's name for it is "partial 16S ribosomal RNA". It matches the Rfam family "Bacterial small subunit ribosomal RNA", at positions 510 to 808 of the family's 1533-position model. The record is from RNAcentral.
CACCGCCGCGGUAAUACGGAGGGUGCAAGCGUUAUCCGGAUUUAUUGGGUUUAAAGGGUCCGUAGGCGGAUCUGUAAGUCAGUGGUGAAAUCUCACAGCUUAACUGUGAAACUGCCAUUGAUACUGCAGGUCUUGAGUAAAUUUGAAGUGGCUGGAAUAAGUAGUGUAGCGGUGAAAUGCAUAGAUAUUACUUAGAACACCAAUUGCGAAGGCAGGUCACUAAGAUUUAACUGACGCUGAUGGACGAAAGCGUGGGGAGCGAACAGGAUUAGAUACCCCUGUAGUCCCUGUCUCUUAUACA